UGCCUUAGUAACGGCGAGUGAAGCGGCAACAGCUCAAAUUUGAAAUCUGGCCCCUCCGGGGUCCGAGUUGUAAUUUGUAGAGAGUGCUUCGGGCGAGGCCUCGGUCUAAGUCCAUUGGAACAUGGUGUCAUAGAGGGUGAGAAUCCCGUAUGCGACCGUGGCUCGAACCCAUGUGAAGCCUCUUCGACGAGUCGAGUUGUUUGGGAAUGCAGCUCAAAAUGGGUGGUAAAUUUCAUCUAAAGCUAAAUACUGGCUGGAGACCGAUAGCGCACAAGUAGAGUGAUCGAAAGAUGAAAAGCACUUUGGAAAGAGAGUCAAACAGUACGUGAAAUUGUUGAAAGGGAAGCGCUUGCAACCAGACCUGCCCCUAGGCGAUCAGCCGCUGUUCUCAGCGGUGUACUCGCUCUGGGAUCAGGCCAGCAUCGGUUUCGGCGGUCGGAUAAAGGCCUUGGGAAUGUAGCUUCCCUUCGGGGGAGUCUUAUAGCCCUCGGUGCAAUGCGGCCAGCCGGGACCGAGGACCGCGCUUCGGCUAGGAUGCUGGCGUAAUGGUUGUAAGCGACCCGUCUUGAAACACGGACCAAGGAGUCUAACAUCUAUGCGAGUGUUUGGGUGUCAAACCCAUGCGCGGAAUGAAAGUGAACGGAGGUGAGAACCCUUGAGGGCGCAUCAUCGACCGAUCCAGAUGUCUUCGGAUGGAUUUGAGUAUGAGCAUAGCUGUUGGGACCCGAAAGAUGGUGAACUAUGCCUGAAUAGGGUGAAGCCAGAGGAAACUCUGGUGGAGGCUCGCAGCGGUUCUGACGUGCAAAUCGAUCGUCAAAUUUGGGUAUAGGGGCGAAAGACUAAUCG
This 846-nucleotide ribosomal RNA is filed under the name Xanthoparmelia phaeophana. RNAcentral describes it as "eukaryotic LSU rRNA". It matches the Rfam family "Eukaryotic large subunit ribosomal RNA", at positions 76 to 937 of the family's 3401-position model. The record is from RNAcentral. Lineage: Eukaryota; Fungi; Ascomycota; Lecanoromycetes; Lecanorales; Parmeliaceae.